GACGAACGCUGGCGGCGUGCUUAACACAUGCAAGUCGAACGGUGAAGCGCCUUCCUUUUUGGUGGGUGUGGAUGAGUGGCGAACGGGUGAGUAACACGUGAGUAACCUGCCCCCUUCUUCUGGAUAACCGCAUGAAAGUGUGGCUAAUACGGGAUAUUCUGGGUCUGUCGCAUGAUGGGUCUGGGAAAGAUAUUGUUUCGGUGGGGGAUGGGCUCGCGGCCUAUCAGCUUGUUGGUGGGGUGAUGGCCUACCAAGGCGGUGACGGGUAGCCGGCCUGAGAGGGUGGAGGGUCACACUGGGACUGAGACACGGCCCAGACUCCUACGGGAGGCAGCAGUGGGGAAUAUUGCACAAUGGGCGCAAGCCUGAUGCAGCGACGCCGCGUGGGGGAUGGAGGCCUUCGGGUUGUGAACCUCUUUCGCCAGUGAAGCAGGCCUGCCUCGUUUGUGGGUGGGUUGACGGUAGCUGGAUAAGAAGCGCCGGCUAACUACGUG
RNAcentral lists this ribosomal RNA (494 nucleotides) under uncultured bacterium. Its description in RNAcentral is "partial 16S ribosomal RNA". It matches the Rfam family "Bacterial small subunit ribosomal RNA", at positions 28 to 507 of the family's 1533-position model. The record is from RNAcentral.